This is a long non-coding RNA of Homo sapiens (human), 2166 nucleotides long. NCBI's taxonomy places the organism in Eukaryota, Metazoa, Chordata, Mammalia, Primates, Hominidae. The record is from Ensembl.
AAAGCCUUUCAGGGUCUGUCUAUAUUUUCAGUCUGAUUCAGCUCUGAAGGCAUCGAAUACUACCUUUGUGUGCCUCAGGGCCUCUGGGGGCUUCACGAAGGGAGGGAGGCCCCUAGCCUGUGGCCCAGGCUCUCUCCACCACGCUGCCUCAGGCCCUAGGCUGGCCUAGGAAGCUCAGCAAACAGCACAAUCUCACCCUCACAGGAAAACUGAAACCACAGCCUCCAUCACUUGGCAAGGGUGGGGCCUCGGUCAGGGUUGGGGAACCCUCAUGGGCCCAGUGAGCAGGAUCAGAAAGAAGAAGGAGUCAAAGAGUGGUAAGGAGACAGAAGGGUGGAGAAGGGGGCAGGGGGCAGGGGGCAGAGAGCAGAGAGGAGCGGCACCAGCAGAGGGAAGUGGAGAGGGUAGGCUGGGACCAGGCCCUGGGGACCCGGGUGGGGUAUUUUCCCAUGGAAACAUGGGAGGUGGGGAGCUGCCUGGCUGCCUCAGUUUGCAGAUGUGACCCACCACCCUUUCUACACACACUGGGGCAGAAGGGUGCUCUUUCCGUUUCAUACCGUUUAGCCCAUCUGUGUCCCCAACCAAACCCUGGCCCAUUCCUCCAGCCCUAGACUCCCAAGCCCCAGCAGCAACAGUUGUCUGUCCAGCCCCCACCCCACCUCCUGGGACCCUCACCCACCCUGGCAGCAGAGGAAGGGGUGUGGAGGUCCAGGGAGAGGGUGCUGGAGCCCCACACAGACCCUGGCUCCAGGCUGUAGAAGCCAGGAGCCCACUAGGCCUUCCCCACCCCAUCAUUCACUGUCAGGCUUGGAGACCCGGCCCCCUCCAACGUCCCCAGCAUUGCCCACCGACUUACCCCGCAGGCUGAGGCCAGGGCGUGGCGGCUGCUGGGAUCCCGGAGCUUCUCAGUAGCAGGGGCUGCGGGAGGAAGUGAAGCCGGGAGGGGCUGCCGGCGCUGACAGCAGAGGAGCGGCGGAACCUCCCUCCCCAGCUCUGAGCACUAAGCUCCAGCAAGCAGGUUCUGGUCUCUCGGUCACCCUCAGCCCACCUGGCCAGCCGGCACGGUGGAGAACGGGAGCUUAACUCUCCCCUGUCAGGACAGGCUAGCCACCAGAGACUGACCAUCUGGACACACCCUGCUGCGAAUCAGGCUCCACCCCCACCCCUCCCCCUUCUAGCCACUAAGGUCUCAGGUGGGGGUGGGUGACACUCAGAGGCAGCCCUUGGAUGCUGGGGACUUGCCACCCAUGGAAGCUGCCAUGGAUGGGGGAUUCUUCCCCAAGUCCACUGACAGCUAUCUCCUCCCCUUCUCCACCACAUGCCUUCCAAGCAGCCGUGUGGCCCAUAAAUGGGCCUGAGUUGACCCAUGGCAGGGGAGAAAGCUGAUGUGGACAGCCCCCAGGGAGAGGCUCAGCCCAGCAGAUGCCCCUGGGAACACAGUCCCACCCACCCAUCCACCCAGCAGUUGGGGGACUUUCCCACCUCCCAGGACCUUCUCCCAGCCUCCUGACCCCAGGACUCUGAUGGCUAAAGUUCCCCUAAAGGUGCUCCAAGCACCAGCCAGCAGGUGGAGACAAGGAGGUGGGCACGCACUGCUAAAAUCAGACCUCACCACCAACGGGGCCCUGGUCUGGACUCAGUCUUGGAGCUUGGGGACCCAACCACCACCGAAGUAGCCCUAGGAAUCUCUCUCCCUCACUCCCAAAACCUGGCAUCAGCUCUUCCUCCAAAAUUUGUCUUUCUGAGUGGUCCAAGCCACUAUCACUGCUCCCCUGGGCAACUGCAGCCACCUCCAAACUGGUCUCCCUGCUUCAUUCUUGCCCCACACUCAUAAUCCAUUUCUCCUUAUAGCAACUGAAGUGACCUUUUAAAAAUGGGAACCAGGGCCGGGCGCAGUGGCUCACACCUGUAAUCCCAGCACUUUGGGAGGCCGAGGUGCAUGGAUCACUUGAGGUCAGGAGUUCAAGACCAGCCUGGCUAACAUGGCAAAACCCCAUCUCUACUAAAAAUACAAAUAUUAGCUGGAUAUGGUGGUGGGCACCUGUAAUCUCAGCUACUUGGGAGGCUGACGCAGGAGAAUCGCUUGAACCUGGGAGGCGGAAGUUGCAGUGAGCUGAGAUUGUGCCACUGCACACCAGCCUGGACAACAGAGCGAGACUCUGUGUC